Molecule: ribosomal RNA, 468 nt
Filed under: uncultured bacterium
Lineage: Bacteria
Description: partial 16S ribosomal RNA
Rfam family: Bacterial small subunit ribosomal RNA
Source: RNAcentral
GACGAACGCUGGCGGCGUGCUUAACACAUGCAAGUCGAACGGAAAGGCCCUGCUUUUGUGGGGUGCUCGAGUGGCGAACGGGUGAGUAACACGUGAGUAACCUGCCCUUGACUUUGGGAUAACUUCAGGAAACUGGGGCUAAUACCGGAUAGGAGCUCCUGCUGCAUGGUGGGGGUUGGAAAGUUUCGGCGGUUGGGGAUGGACUCGCGGCUUAUCAGCUUGUUGGUGGGGUAGUGGCUUACCAAGGCUUUGACGGGUAGCCGGCCUGAGAGGGUGACCGGCCACAUUGGGACUGAGAUACGGCCCAGACUCCUACGGGAGGCAGCAGUGGGGAAUAUUGCACAAUGGGCUGAAGCCUGAUGCAGCAGCGCCGCGUGCGGGAUGACGGCCUUCGGGUUGUAAACCGCUUUCGCCUGUGACGAAGCGUGAGUGACGGUAAUGGGUAAAGAAGCACCGGCUAACUACGUG